RNAcentral lists this ribosomal RNA (468 nucleotides) under uncultured bacterium. RNAcentral describes it as "partial 16S ribosomal RNA". It matches the Rfam family "Bacterial small subunit ribosomal RNA", at positions 28 to 507 of the family's 1533-position model. The record is from RNAcentral.
GACGAACGCUGGCGGCGUGCUUAACACAUGCAAGUCGAACGGAAAGGCCCUGCUUUUGUGGGGUGCUCGAGUGGCGAACGGGUGAGUAACACGUGAGUAACCUGCCCUUGACUUUGGGAUAACUUCAGGAAACUGGGGCUAAUACCGGAUAGGAGCUCCUGCUGCAUGGUGGGGGUUGGAAAGUUUCGGCGGUUGGGGAUGGACUCGCGGCUUAUCAGCUUGUUGGUGGGGUAGUGGCUUACCAAGGCUUUGACGGGUAGCCGGCCUGAGAGGGUGACCGGCCACAUUGGGACUGAGAUACGGGCCAGACUCCUACGGGGGCCAUCGGUGGGAAAUAUUGCACAAUGGGCGGAAGCCUGAUGCAGCAACGCCGCGUGCGGGAUGACGGCCGUCGGGUUGUAAACCGCUUUCGCCUGUGACGAAGCGUGAGUGACGGUAAUGGGUAAAGAAGCACCGGCUAACUACGUG